AACUCGAAUUUGUUCACGAUAUUAAUUCUUGUUAAUUGUGUAAAUUGCUACAAACGUGCAGUCAGAGUCUAAAUUGUUUUCUUAUCUGCAACUUCACUCCCCUCUUUGUUGUAUACUCUUAUCGGUAUCUUGUCUUUUUACCUGCAUUCAGACAUAGGAUCUUCUUGUCCAGAUAAGAUUCUGUCUCACGCAGAAAUUUUAUUUUUCUUCAUAAAAUAAAAGUUUCGAAACGAUUCUGUUUAAAAUAUAUUCCCAACGAAACGAAGGUCGGAGAUGGAAAAGAUAAGGUUAGCAUCUUUUACCUGGUAGGAAAAGGAAAGAAAAACACGGAAAGAUGUGGCGCCUUUUGGUAAAAAUCGUUUUGUAUGGCCCCAGUAGAAAGAUUCGCGAGUUAUAAACGAGGAGAAAAUACGAAAGUCGAAUGUUUGGUCGCCAGAUUUGCUGGUCCUUUUAAGUCAAAAGCUGCAUUGCUCUUCGUAUCCCGUAGACUGAAUGUAAAUAAAUAUAUGGCACACUUUAGCCUAAUUUCCAAGACGAUGGUCUUCGGUUCGCUCACCCCUUUCUAAGCAGGAGACAGGGCAAGAAACAUUAAUCACAACAAUCCCUUCCACCAUUGGCAUUCAUUGGAAUGAACAUAUGAUUAAUAGCAUCUUUCGCCACAGUAAGGAGUGGAAGGAGAAUUCAGAUUGAAGAGACUACUAAGGUCAACAAUGUACCAGAACUGGGGGGCCGAUAGUGUGCUUUUCGUCUCUAUGACAACGAAAGGAGCGUCAAUCUGGACGCCGUCUCCUCCUCCCCCGCUUCGACCCCCCGAGUCCAAACUGACUUCCUUCUGGGACAGUGUCCGUGCUGCAGGCCAUAUCGUCUCCUACAAGUCUGACUUGGAACUCAAAGGAUUCUUGAAAGCUUUUGUGUGCGCUUGCAAACAUGGUGGAACGCACAAAGAGCGGGACAUGAGUCGACCAAUGGGGCUGCCUCGAGCCGCUCUGUGACAGAAUGAUUGAUACGACGGCCACGAAAUUUUUAUCGAAAGUUCUUGUUCUCAUUGUGCAGGUGGAGGGCGUAGCAUUACCAAAACUCUUCAGGAUGUUCCAUUACAAAACUGGCUCCAAAGUUUCUGGGAUUUAUUGGACGAACAAUCUUUUUGAUUUCCACUCUUGAGUUGUUUUUUUCCUCCUCUCUUUCUCUCCCUUUCUCAGACUAGGGCCGAUCACUGCUGCGAGCAUUUCCCUUCGCUAGAUUUUUAUGUAUUCACCUCGGGGUGUGAAAAAAAACUGUAAAAGGGAGAGAAAAAAAGGGGUAGAUGAGUUAAAGAAAUAUAGUGAGUUUUUGUUCUUUCGACAUUCUUAUUAUAUGGCAGAAUAGCGUUACCUGCGUUGAUGGCCGACAAUUACCGACUUAAGUAGACUAACUGCCUAAUCUGUAUAUCUGCCCCUCUCUCUUUCCGAAAGAGAGUGUUUAUUGCCAUGUACUACCAGUAUCGAAACGUUUUCAUUUCCCUGUAUAAAUUUAAAAGGGAAUUUUUCGUCAUCCAUCAAUAGGCGAUGGCGAAAUUCGGCAUGUUUAUUAUUGGAUCCAAGCCAAUUCGCUUUGUUACAUAAUGAUGUUUUAUGAUCAUCAAACAAUCUCUUUUUACCCAUUGAGAAGUUGUUGACAUCCUUUCCAUUCAGAUACAAUUUUGGGACGGAGCUGCAGCCAGCCACAACAGCGCCUUGUCUUUCCCAUCUGCUGUCAUCCAUCGCUGCAGAUAUUUUCAGCUGCUGGCAUUUGUCUCACUUCCGGAGUGACGUCACUUCCGUUUCAUGAAUGGAAACGUUUCAGUUCGAAGUUUCGGUACAGAAAAAAAUCCCGGACGACACACAUGGGCGCAAAUUAAUGUGUGCUUUACGGCUGAGAAGAAUGGCCGCCGACUCUUCUGAUAAGAGUUAGAGGAUUCGAGUUUUCUGGCAAAAGGAUGGUAUAGAGGAACUGCAACUUCAGACAUGGACGUCAGAGUUGCCCAGAAGGUUAUUACAAGACAGUGUAGAGGUUUUAAUCCACAGCUAAUUGGUUUUUUCUGUCAUCAGUAAUACCAAGCCAAUCGAUAGAUGGGGAAGUGCUGCUCCCUCUCCAGCAAAAGAGAACAGCCUUGCAUACAUCAUUCCUGCCAAGCAGUUUGCUGUCGUUUUAGUCAUCAGUUCUUAAAACAGCACAAAACCCGAGAUUAACAUCGUGUCUCCUGCAAAUUUCCAAUCGCCCGAAUUUAUAAAUAUGAUUUAUGUUGGAGAAAACAAGGUUUAAAUAGCGAUUAAUGUCCACUAAAGAAAUCCACUUACAGAUUAGUGUUAUUCGGCGGAAACUCCUCCGAUUAUCGCUAAUCUCCGAGGGAAUUUUUAAUCCAGAUGGCAAAACGGCUCCAUAUGGACACAAGUGAACACCCUCCAGGCAAAGUUUAAAUUUCAAUCAGUUUUUUUUCUUCCGUAUAAUGAACUCCAUCAGAGCAUCUGACCAUAGAGCUAUGCGCAAUAUAUAAUUAACCACAUGCGCUCUUCUAAUUACCUACGAGUCUUGUGGCCAGAUAAUUAACACCGAUGAUGCUAGCGUGAGAACUUAUUGUCUGCCAUCUUGGCCGUGCACCCGGUAGGCCAAUCUAAAGAUUACUGUCGGACCGGUCGAGCCACCGUAAAGUUUUUUUGGUGGCAAAAAUGAGUGGUUUAAAGUACGGCAUUAAAAGUGAAGGAGCAUUGUUGGCGAUAUGGAUAGCGAGGUUCCGUAGCCAACAGAGCAGUAAACAUUGUCAACACAGCGUGAAAUUGCCAGCAAGGUAUUUUUGUAGGUAAUCUGAAUACAAUCUAACAGGACGGGGAUUAAUGGAUAGACAUGUGUACUCCAGUCACGGAACACCAGAUAAUUUAUAACCAUAAUUUAAUACAAUAAGCACAAUACGUUCAACAAGCUGUGCUAAUUGCUGAGGCAGUUGUGUUCAAAUGUCUCUGAUGUAUACGCGCAGCUAUUGGUUUAAUGGAAGAAGAGCGCAAUCGUUAAUUGCAUCGUACGUAUCUCUCGAAAUAACGCUUCUGUCCGAAUCCUCGCUUUAAACGUUUCGUCUAUCGGACUGGUUGCAGGGAUGCAAAACUUUUGGUCGGUCGCAGGUGCGGAACGACUUUUAUGGUCGAGAUAGGCGACAUCCACUGUUUAUAUUGGACACCUUAUAAAAACAAGAAUGCUGCAAACCGAAUAAUCGAAGACGAAGAUAGUGGAAAAGGGUCGAUAAGCAGGCUGCUGUGUCGAACAAAAAUUAUUGGUAGGCUGCCAGUUGGCCUUUAUUAAAUGAUUAAAACGGGGCCUGACGAAGUGAGAAAAGAGUCUGAUAUUUGUUUUUUGUCCGAUUAUCUCUAUUUGAAGAUUAGGGAAGAAAAGAGAGUUUUGAUAGCCUGGGGUGACUAAUCAAACCUAGUGAUUAGCAUCUUUAUGUAGAGUGUCUGUAGAAAGAGAUUCUGUUGAACAUUUGUCAAAACAAUGUAGUGAGAUGAAUACGCUUCAACAUAAUUAUUAAUGAGGUCUAAGUUGAAAAAGGAGCAGGGGAGAUGGAGAGAAAGAAAGAUAAAAAAAAAGUAGAUACUUCCUUAGUGCCUAGAUUAGAUUCGUACAGUGUUUGUCUGUAAAACUCGAGGGAAUGAACAGAGUAAAUAGGUGCAUAAUAAAUGUUUCCCCCUUCUCCAGGCACGUAAAAACUGAAGUGAAGUAGUGGAUGCUAAUUAUGCACUAACAAAAAUUAGGUACGUUUUCAUCCAAGCAAAAGUUACUGGACUUGUACGCUAAGAUGACAUUACUCGGGUCCCUGGUGGGAUUAAUAGAAACAGGCACGUUGAAGGACAUGAUUUUUUCAUUAAAACUGCACAUGUUCCUUGUCGAAUAUGCUAGAAAUCAAUUAGCGAGAAAUUCUCGUCGAUUCGUGCAUUAAUCGCGGCUGGAUGAUCGGUUUUUGUUUCAACCAAGUUAGUUUACUGAUGGAAUUUGGUGGAGCCUAUCGAAAAUGUCAUUGAUUACGCAUUAGUGUGCCCCCUCGGCAUCAGACGCUCGCAGUUUGCACUUGACCAUCUUUCUGUCUCCUCUGCACAGAAAUUAGCACUCUUCAAAUUGAUGCACUGUGCCGCAUCUCCGAAAAUCGCUUCUUUUUCACAAUUAGUAAGUUUAAAACCACUAAAUAAGUUGGCUCUCGGGAAACUAAAAGUAAAUUAAAGUAGAAACUCCUCAUUCCUAAGGCUUCUUAUUUCAUAAAUCAUAUAAUCAGAUAAAUAUAAAUAUUUGACGGUGUUUGUGCCCUACAGGACGUGACACACCAGUCUAAAUGGCUGCAAAUUACGGUGUCAUAAAACAUAUACAUACGAGGCAUAAACAUAGUGCAUAAACACUCGGAGAUCCAAAUAGCCGUCGAUGUUUCUCCAUUUUAAGAUUUGAAAACGUGCCAAUACUAUUAUCGUUACCUGAGUUUUAAAAAAGACAAGCACGAAACGGUUAUAAUUUUUGUAAAUUAAUCGCAAAAACUGCCGAAGUGGUGCGAAUCUCGGGUAGGCGUCACUCCAUCAUUGACUAGUUUUCGGCUCUUGAUGUAUCUUCCCUUCAAGCCGAAAUCAAAAUUUGAGUGUCACGAUUCAUGGAAAAUCACACGUCGCGCAUUUUUACCGUCUUCUUAUUAAUUAUUACUGAUACGAGCUAUAAAAAAAUGACCUGCAGAUUACUGUCUGAUGUCAAACGCUUUGCCAUCAUACCCAAAAAGCGUUAAUGGUCUUAUGUUUCGGCCGACAGAUGGAGACACUGUUUGUCCAAACAAAUUGGGCGCGGGAUAAUGAAUUCCAUUUCUGAAUGGGUUGAUCUCGCCAAAAAACUAUCGUUGGUUGGAAGAAAAAGCGGGACGGGGAACGGAACUCUUUCCAGAUACAUCCACCAAAAAAUUUCCAGUGAAAAUAGCAUCCGUUGCGAAUUUAAAAAAAAAAAAAAAAAAUUAGAUAUUAGCGCCGUCCUAGGUCGAGC
Molecule: long non-coding RNA, 5013 nt
Filed under: Androctonus crassicauda
Lineage: Eukaryota; Metazoa; Arthropoda; Arachnida; Scorpiones; Buthidae
Source: RNAcentral